Capsicum annuum is the source of this 1163-nucleotide long non-coding RNA. RefSeq lists it as uncharacterized. Lineage: Eukaryota; Viridiplantae; Streptophyta; Magnoliopsida; Solanales; Solanaceae. The transcript is spliced from 2 exons. The record is from RefSeq and is a predicted model, not a curated record.
GGGAAUAUAUGUCAAAUACCUAAAACUUUAACCCAAUUCCUUUGUAUUGAUAUUUCUCAGUCUUUUUAUUGAAUCAUAAGUAAAUUGUAAAAAGGAAAAAGAAAGAGGCCCUGCCUCCGUUAUAAACUUCGUUGAAGCCCUAAUACCAUUAAUUAUUCCUUUUCCUUCUUCAAAGUGAGUUACUAAGUGGAGUUGGUAGAGAGAUAUCAAUAGUUGUUAUUAAUUAAAUUUCAGGUUACUAAGUUGAGUUGGUAGAGAGAUAUCAAUAGUUGUUAGUUUCAAUGUCGAAAUUGUAUGCUGGUUUGAAAUACCGUAAUUCCUCCUCGGAUGCAACUGUUAAAAUUCGUCAAUUAUUAUCACCACAAGAUGCAACUGUUGUAAGUUGUAAAUUCUACCCUGCACAAGGUGGUCCUCCUACUCGUUUACCCUCAUUAGCCAUUAAAUUUGACCUUAAUACUCACCACAAAUAUUGAUCUAGUCCUGAUCAACUUGAACACCAGCACUCUCGUACCAGCUCGACCCGUUUCCAUCUUUGCCAUACUACUCCAUCCACUUCAUAUAGCAAGUCCUUGUUUAAACUAAUGUGAGGGUCUACUGAGAACUGGGGUGAGGAGUUUGAUAAGAAUUACCGUCAUCUUGUUAUUCAUGAUAUGAUUGGUAAAGUUAGUGAAAUUGUUGAUGAUGAGUGUAACAAGGAUAGGAUACGCUUGGAUGUGCACGUUCGUGUUAAUUAGUUGUUCACCAUUCAUCAUCCGUACUAGUACGCAUGGUAAAGAGUAUGGAGGUUGAUGAAAAUGCUGUGAAUGACAACUGUAUGAUUUGCUUGGAAACGCUUGGGAAGGAGAGGGAGUUGAUGUGUAUGCCUUGCUCGCAUUUGUUUCAUGGAGAUUGCGCUACAACUUGGCUAGAGAAUGGCAAUUCUUGCCCUGUUUGCCGUUAUGAUCUCCUAGCUACCUAGCUUCUAUUUUUCUUCUUUCAAAAUAUAAAACGAAGGAAGAAGCAUCUGUUGGGUCCUUCUUUAUUUCUUCUUAGAUUGAUUGAUAUAUUUUAUGCUACAAUUAUCCAUGCUACCGAAUUACAAACUCUUCUGGUUGAAUGUAAAAACCUUAUUUGUCUAUUUAUAUUGAAGCCGCCUGCUAUAUUAACCAAUAGCUUUAUGUUGA